RNAcentral lists this ribosomal RNA (516 nucleotides) under uncultured fungus. RNAcentral describes it as "SSU rRNA". It matches the Rfam family "Eukaryotic small subunit ribosomal RNA", at positions 214 to 731 of the family's 1831-position model. Lineage: Eukaryota; Fungi. The record is from RNAcentral.
AUUAAAAACCAAUGCCCUCUGGGCUCUUUGGUGAUUCAUGGUAACUGGUCGAAUCGCAUGGCCUUGCGCCGGCGAUGGUUCAUUCAAAUUUCUGCCCUAUCAACUUUCGAUUGUUGGGCAUUGGCCAACAAUGGUGACAACGGGUAACGGAGGGUUAGGGCUCGACCCCGGAGAAGGAGCCUGAGAAACGGCUACUACAUCCAAGGAAGGCAGCAGGCGCGCAAAUUACCCAAUCCUGAUACAGGGAGGUAGUGACGAUAAAUACUGAUACAGGGCCCUUUUGGGUCUUGUAAUUGGAAUGAGUACAAUUUAAAUCCCUUAACGAGGAACAAUUGGAGGGCAAGUCUGGUGCCAGCAGCCGCGGUAAUUCCAGCUCCAAUAGCGUAUAUUAAAGUUGUUGAGGUUAAAAAGCUCGUAGUUGAACCUUGGGCCUGGCUGGUCGGUCCGCCUCACCGCGUGCACUGAUCCGGCCGGGCCUUUCCCUCUGUGAAACCCCAUGGCCUUCACUGGUUGUGG